AUUACACAUAGUUUGGAGAUUAUUUAAAGUAUAUGGAAGGAUGUGUGUGAGUCAUACGCAAAUGCUACACCAUUUUAUCUAAGGGACUUGAGCAUCCAUGGAUUUUGG
Long non-coding RNA from Sapajus apella (tufted capuchin), 108 nucleotides. RefSeq lists it as uncharacterized. NCBI's taxonomy places the organism in Eukaryota, Metazoa, Chordata, Mammalia, Primates, Cebidae. The transcript is spliced from 3 exons. The record is from RefSeq and is a predicted model, not a curated record.